GUAGGUGAACCUGCGGAAGGAUCAUUACCGAGUCCUCCUGUUCUGCAGGAACUCCCACCCUUGAAGACUGAAGCGUUGCUUCGGCAAGACGUCUCUGGACCAUCGGCGUAUUUAUCGAUGUGCGCUUGCCGGAGUUCCAAACUCUAAAUAUGUAUCGUCAGAUGAAACAAGCAAUAAAUAAAAACUUUCAACAACGGAUCUCUUGGUUUUGGCAUCGAUGAAGAACGCAGCAUCUGACUGACUUGGGAUG
This 250-nucleotide unclassified non-coding RNA is filed under the name plant metagenome. RNAcentral's name for it is "partial contains small subunit ribosomal RNA, internal transcribed spacer 1, and 5.8S ribosomal RNA". The record is from RNAcentral.